Molecule: non-coding RNA, 1000 nt
Organism: Odocoileus virginianus texanus
Lineage: Eukaryota; Metazoa; Chordata; Mammalia; Artiodactyla; Cervidae
Source: RefSeq, a predicted model, not a curated record
UCCACCACUAGACACAUCAGCUCCUGUGCUGUGGGAAAAGGGUGUUUGCUAUGGCCAAUUGUUCCCAGCACUCAGCGGAAAAAUUGAACAUUGUUUUUGCUUUGGCCCAGCCACUUCAUCCUUUCUGAAGCUAUUAGUAUUUGCCCUCCUCUCUUCCCUAGUAGCACAUCGGACACCUUCUGACCUGGGGGCUUAUCUUCCAGUAUCAUAUCUUUUUGCCUUUUCCCACUCUUCAUGGGGUUCUAGCAGUGAGAAUACUGGAUCGGUUUGCCUCUCCCUCCUCUGGUGGACCACAUUUUGUCACAACUCUCCACUGUGACCCGUCGUCUCAAGUGGCCCUGCACAUCAUGGCUCUUGGCUUCACUGAGUUAUGCAAACCCCUUCACCAUGAUGAGGCUGUGAUCUAUGAAGGGAAGCUAAUUAUUUUUGGCAUACAUUCUAAAAUCAAGUGCAAGUCGUGUUCCUCAUUUCCAAUUCGGGAAGUUAAGAGUCUUUGUGCUAAUUGGAUAGGGGUAGCUUCAACCUAGCAUCAUCCUGUAUCCAUGGGCCCACCAGCCUGCAGUGACAUCAUCCUGCAAGCCUGGAGGAUGCAGCCCACAUCUCCUAUACACAAGGGAUGUCACUGCUGACUCUUAGUCUCCCGACCUUUGAAAAAUUAGAAGGAUGUGCAUGGAUGUGAUUGGAAACUGUAAAGCACCACGCAAUGAAAAACGGCUGUAAUCUUCCCUUGAACAUAAAUGAGUGGUCAGAACCCUGCAACCCUGCGAAUGACCCAAGCCUUCGGUCUGUUUCAGCACUGAAUUUAAGAACUUCUGAUACGGCUAAAGAAUUCACAGAAGACUGAAGAAUAAAUCAAUAAAAUAACUUCUAAAAAAUAUUUAUGGAAAGCAAUAAGCUCCAUCUUUGCCCUUUAUGACCACAACUAAUCUCUACAAAUCUCCCUUGAACAAUGACCUCACCUAACCCCUAGUCCUCGAAUUUAUCCUUAUCACUGUCUCAC